This 86-nucleotide transfer RNA is filed under the name Spirochaetae bacterium HGW-Spirochaetae-5. RNAcentral describes it as "tRNA-Ser". It matches the Rfam family "tRNA". From Rfam's summary of the family: Transfer RNA (tRNA) molecules are approximately 80 nucleotides in length. Their secondary structure includes four short double-helical elements and three loops (D, anti-codon, and T loops). The record is from RNAcentral. Lineage: Bacteria; Pseudomonadati; Spirochaetota.
GGAGAGGUGCCCGAGUGGCCGAAGGGGGUUGACUGCUAAUCAAUUGUAUCGUUUAGGUACCGGGGGUUCGAAUCCCCCCUUCUCCG